Long non-coding RNA from Sorghum bicolor (sorghum), 3734 nucleotides. RefSeq lists it as uncharacterized. The record is from RefSeq and is a predicted model, not a curated record. Lineage: Eukaryota; Viridiplantae; Streptophyta; Magnoliopsida; Poales; Poaceae. The transcript has 3 exons.
CCUAUUUUUCCUGGCGCUUGCGACUCCUUCCCCUUCUUACUUAUGCUCGUGACUCCUAGAGCAGAGCAGCAGCCGCCGCUCCCUCUCCAUGCCUGUUCGGGCCCUGCAUCUCUAUGCGCUACUCCUCUCCACACUGCUACAGGAGCCGCCGCUCCAGCUUCACUCCUCUCUAGACCUGCCUCUCAACGAAGGACAUGCGGGUCCUCCUCCAGCACGGGCGGCAGUGGGUGGCCAAGGGCGACCAUAUCUGAUGGAUGGAUCCAGAUCUGAUCGACGGCAGCCAGAUCCAUUGGAAGGUAGCGAUAGUAGGGCAGGUACAGCUCUCUCCAUCUACCUCUCUCUUCCCCUCUACACCUCUCUCAGACUUUCCUGCCCCCCUUAGAUGAUCUGCGGGCGGUGGGACUUUGGACCAGGUAGAUCUAGGGGACACCGCGACAGGUGCAUGGAGGGCUACAUGUGAUUUGCAUGGAGGAUACCGUAGACGGAGGAUCUACAUGCUGGACCUGAAUCCAGAACCUCAAGUAAUUUUCUAAUUUUAUUUUUUUAUUUUUCCUAGUAGGUGUUGUAAUGUGUCCACCUCCAAAAAUACUAUUUCCAUAUGCAGGCUUCAAAAGGUGUUCGCCUCCAAAAAGGUAUUUUGGAGGCGGUCCUUUUGACCGUCUCAGUAAAAAGCAAUUAACGGAGACCUUUGAUUAUAGGCGGACUGCUUCCUCGCCUGCGCAAAGCAAUUUUGAUCACCCACCAAAAAAUUACUAUAGUAGUGCUCCUCCAGUGAGGUGGUUUGUGCUUAAAAGAGGACACAUUAAUGAUAGGUUCCCUUCCCCUAAUGGUGUAUCCUCAUCCAUGACAUGACAUGUCAGGUGGAGUGAGCGAUAGGUGAUGGUCUCCAUGGCAUGGCCUACCACGGUCAUGGCCUCUCGUGUAGUGUGGCUUGUGCCGAUAGAUCAGGCCCCUCUGAGCCUGGAUCUAGCAUCUCUUAUUAGUCUAGAUCUAUGCUAUUGGAUCUUGUUGUGUCACACAAAUGAUGUCAGAGGCCAUAGCUAAGCAUGGCAAUGAAUGGCCCUGGGCUCAAUGUGUGUAUGUUGAACGACACAACAUUGGUGUGGCUACACAUGAACUUCACGGCAAUUGUGGCGGGCAACCGUGUUGCGGGUGAUGCCUAGCCUUGGCUAGGAGGGGGGUACAACACCAUGCUUAGCACACUGGUUCCAUGGGUUACCGUGCGACAUGACAAUGCUCGUGGGCAUGUUUCCCAUAUGUGGUUGUGUGGUGACGUCAUCUGCAUGUGGUAUCCCAUGGUACUGCAUGGUCCCAUCAUUGUCCUCAACAACCGUGCCACCGUGCUAGUGCCCAUUUGAAAAAUGUUAUGGUGACAUCAUCUUAUUCAUGGGAGAUUAGUGAACCAAGGGCCGCAUAACUUGAAAGCAAUCACUUCUUGUGUAUUGAUGCAAUUUAGAUGGUGUGAUCGUUAGGGAAAUAUUGAGCUUUGGUAGUCUUUGACAUAGUGAUCUGAUUUCAUUCUUGGUACAUUUUUUGUUACACAAAUAUAUGCUUAAAUUAUUUCAUAUAGGAUAUUAGGGAAAACAUUAGUUUUCAUUUGAGAAUUGCAUUCAAUUUAUAACUUAAUGGAAUAGGAAUUGUACUAUGAGAUUUCUUGAAAAUAGAGUUCUGAAAUAUGUUGCUUGGUACUUGACUACUUUGCAAAUCAUCUUAUAAUUUGAGAUUGUCUAGUUAUAAAUUAUUGAACAUGCUAAUGACGGCUAGGGUCUAGGUGCACUAGAUGCGAUUAUGAUCAAUUGAAGGGCCCCUUACGGGUAUAACAAGGUUCUAGAUAUGGACUUAAUAUAAGUAUGAAGUUACCUGAGUUGAUCUGGGAUAGUGUAGUUAUAUGUUUGCUGGAACUACUGCUGUUGUAUCUGUAAGGUCCCCUUCCAUUGAAUAGAAUUGCAUCUAGUGCUCCAACACCCUAGCCAUCAUCUAGCCCAUUCCUCAGUUUCUAAUUGGACAAUUAUUACCAAAUUAAAAGAUGAAUAUAUAGUCUUAAGUACCAAGCAAAUACUGCACAACUCUACUUUUCGUGAAAUCCUUUAAACUCUGAUUCUUAUUCUAUUACGUGAAAAAUCAAAUGUGAUUAUCAAAUGAAUAUUAAUAUUUAUUCUUAUAUCCUAUAAGGUAAAAAAAAUCUGAGGAUACAUCUGUCUAACAAAAAAUAUGCUGAAAUUAAGGGAUCAUGUGUCAAAGACAAAGAAAGUUCAAUUUUUUCAUGACUACCUCCAUAACAGCACACCAUCUGAAUUGGUGCACUAGGCAUAAGGAUAACUGCUUGUAACUUACCUACAAGUUACAGUGUGGCUAUUGGUGUACCAAAUGAACUGGGUGAUAUCACUAUAGAGGAGGUCAAAGGGACCCUCGUGGUGGCAUGGUGUUGAAGGUGAUGGUGCUAUGUAGUUGUCACACUAGGCUGCACGCAGAUGACUUUAUCACACAUGCAUGGAACUGUCGUUAUGGUGCUCGUGGUGCUGUUACCCCUACUGGUGUCUAUGGCUCUAAGGUGCUGUAUCCAGGAGCUUGAUAUGGUGCCACUGCUGCCACAAAUUAGCCAACAAGUGGAGUUCAUCGAUGUCAUGCACAAUCAUGGUCGACAUCUGUGCUCACGUGCCACAAUGAAAUCCAAUGGUAUAGUUCUGGCCAAAGAUAUGCUUGAUCCAGGCUCUGAAGGGCCAGAUCUAUCCGCAUAGGCUGCACGAGAGACAUUGACUAUAUUGAUGGUCAAGCCAUGCCAUAUACAUUGUCACUCUAUCUCACGCUCCACUAGGGAAGGGAGCCCAUUAUAGCUGAACCUGGUCUCUGACAAGAAAUCAAAAUCAAUUUGUUUCCCUAUCCUUGUAUAACUGCAGAAAUAAAAGAAACAAUGUCUCUAUAGUAAUGUUUGCAUUGCACAUCCCUUACCAACCUCAUCGUGUGGCACUUCAACCAUGAUCAAGCCUUAAGUUUUAGAUGGUGCACUGGAUGUUGGAAAUUACAGCGUGUUAAUUAAUUUUGCAGUUCUGUGUUAAUUAGAAUCACCAUAUUAAUUGUGUAGGUUUGAAUAUAAUCAAUUCCUGAAAUGAUGCUGUUUCGGUCAUUGUGAAGCAGGCAUAGUUUGUUAUUUAUUUUGAUGUGCUUGCACUGCAAUAGAAACCUCUCAUGUACUAGGAGCAGUGAACUCAUCCUGUUCAUAGUUUAAUAUGGCGAUGCCCUUCUGUUCAGUCUGACAUCAAUUGAGCUUUACUUGAUUAUUUGUCCAAUUAGCUGCUCCAAUUUUUUGUUUUUGGAGAACACACUUUGAUUUUGUUGCUUUCUUUGAAUGAAAACAUGUAAUGAUGGAGGAGUCAGAGAAAGCUCAAAGCCAUGUGAUGAAGCAGGUAACAGCGAGCCAUGCGCAGGUACACCAUUGGCACCAACAGAUGUAGGCAAUGCGAUGUUUCCAGCAUUAGUUUCGUGUUUAUGAUUACUAGAACAAUUGGUGUAUCUUGUUCAUAUCAGAUUACUGAUUUGCAUGUGUCUAUCUAGCUUUUGGUUAUUUUGGUCUGUGUAUGCUAGCAGCUAUCGGAAACAUGCAUGUUUCCAUUUGACACAAGCUUUCGAUUGUUGAUAUACGUUUAGAUCUUUGAAAGAGCACCCUUGUAUCGGGGCAAAACUUUUAUUUCUAGCACUUGCAGUGAGCUUGGUUGAAGUAAUGCAACAACUGAGAG